Molecule: long non-coding RNA, 365 nt
Filed under: Daucus carota (carrot)
Lineage: Eukaryota; Viridiplantae; Streptophyta; Magnoliopsida; Apiales; Apiaceae
Description: long non-coding RNA (DCAR_LNC001772)
Source: RNAcentral
GCUGAUCUAGAAUUCUAGAUUGAGGGACGAGGAGGAUGCGCGUAAACUCUGCAGUGUUCCUUAGCAAGAUGAGGGAAUUUGGGGUGAUUAGGAAACAUUCCCUUCCAGCAUUUUAGCGGCGUGACAGCAAUUGCCUUGCAGCAUUUCGCAGAAAUGUUGAAACGAUCUUCGUUAAAAAGGAACUCGAUUAUUUGGAUUGUACAUUUGUCUACAGCGGAUAAAGGAUGAUAGCAAUUCUUGACAUAGUCGUAGGGGGCGUCUGGUUUAUGCUCUGCUGUUGUCGAAACCAAAACGAACAUCAGCAUUGCUAUGAAAAUCAUCGAAUUCGACACCCACGAGUUUGAGUUUGCCAUCGCCUUUUCCAG